AGAUGGCAGCCCCGGAGGCGCUGGUGGGAGGCUGUGUCCUGGGGUCCACCACUGCUCCCCGAACUCUUAGGGUCACCUGGAGCACCUUGGGAGCCAGAGAUGCAGCCAAAGAGUGAACAAUGGUACCAAUCCCAAGACCCAUGUGUUAAGAAGAAACCAGCCAAGACUCAGAUCAGGAUUGGGGAGUCCACCCCUCGUUUCCCUUCAGAGCAUUAUUUCCUUGUUUGCUAAGAGGGGCAGGAACUGGAAAACUCAGGCUAGCCCAUCUGAGAAGACUUUCCUGGAGAUGAGCUGGAGGAGGGAGGAGUAAGGCCUUGGAAGGAAACUCCAGGACAGACCUCCACUAUGAGAAGCGCUAAAGAAAGUUCUUUAGGACGGGCACGAUAGCUCACGCCUAUAAUCCCAGCAUUUUGGGAGGCCAAGGUGGGAGGAUUGCUUGAGCUCGGAAGAUGGAGGCUGCAGUGAGCCAUGACGGUGCCACUGCACUCCAGCUUGGGUGACAGAGUGAGACGCUGUCUCAAAUUGGAAGAGCAGAGCUGCAGACAGGAAUAAGAAGAACGGUAAAUUUGAAGAUGGGACCGUCUAGUUGCAAGAAAACAAGCUCAGGGCUCCCACUGAUUCUACAUUACGGGCUGUGGGUUCCUUGAGGGAGGAAUUUUGUCCUGCAGGCUGUGGCAGCCCUAGGACUCAGCACAUCUAGGUGUCCACCUGCGUCUGUGGUGAGAAGCCUGAUCAUUGCCACGUGACCGCCUCCUCACUGUUGGUACCUGGUUGUAGAGAGCAGCUCUGUGAGUAGAAGGAGAAGGAUCCUGCCCUGGAGAGGGCCUGGCUGGUCCUCACCUGGGGCCUAUCAUUUAGUAACAGGGCUUCUGGAAGUGGUAGCAGAUCUGGGCCUGGUGGGCAUUCUGCUUCUCCUGGGUGGCAGCAGAAGUCCCUAGGUGGCAGGCUGGGGACUGCCCAAAGGUUCUGACUCAGGAAGAGCACAGUGGAACAGAAAGCCCUUGUACCACCUUCGCUGCUGUAUUCGUCCAUUCUCACACUGCUGUACAGAACUACCUGAGACUGGGGAAUUCAUGAAGAGAAGAAGUUUAAUUGACUCACAGUUCUGCGGGCUUAACAGGAAGCAUGACUGGGAGGCCUCAGGAAGCUUAUAAUCAUGGCAGAAGGCGAAGGGGAAGCAAGGACCUUCUUCACAUGGCAGCAGGAGAAAGAGAAGAAGGGAGAAGUCUACACACUUUUAAACAACCAGAUCUCAUGAGAAUUCCAUCGGGAGACAGCACUAGGGGGAUGGCACUAAACCAUUAGAAACUGCCCCCAUGAUCCAAUCACCUCUCACCAGGCCCCUCCUCCAACACGUGGGGAUUACAAUUCCACAUGAGAUUUGGUUGGGGACAUAGAGCCAAAUCCUAUCAGCUGGUAUCCUCCUUUUUCCAGGCUUUAGAUAUGGCACAACCUGAUGGCUUCUGCAUAAAGCCUCCUCUCAUCUGCAUCUCUCCACCUCACUCACCCUCUUUUCAGCAAAGAACCCUCUGGCUCUAGUUUCACUGUGGUGGUCCUGGGAGAGGUAGAGAAGACCCAGAGGCUCCUUACCCUGGGAGGUCAAACUGACCAUCCAGGUUUGGCUCUUCCCUGCUGGUGUGUCUAGAACACCAUCUUCCCCUUAUUGCUGUGGACUUCAGGGCUCUGCUGCUCUGUCCUCCACAGAACUUGUCAAUCAGCUUCCUACCAGCUAAGAUCUGGUGCUGUCUGAUAUAUCCUCCCUGCGGCUUGUCACUCAUGCUGUCUAAUGGCGUGAGGUGCAUUGAGUUGUAUUCUGAUGUCUUUGUCCUUUUGAAGCCACAGAGUAAGGUCACACAACUUUGAAACGAGCAGGGUACCAUCUGAAGAUGCUGGACAUUCCUUUUAACAAUUACCUAGGGGAGAGGCAGUCCUCAGACAGGACUCAGGUGGGUGGGCCUCAAAGAGGAAGGGAAAGGGGGCAGCUGCCUGCCUCUGAACUUCACUCUCUAGACUCGUGGAAGGGUCUAGCUUAGAGCUAGGAUGGGAGGGCUGUGAGCACUGAGGAUGGAGUCAUGCCUUUUUGUGACUGGACACAUUUUUACUGCCCGAAGUCAUCUACUGCCCCCACCCCCCAACCCCAUUCUUCUGCCCACUUAGCGAAUAUUGAGGUUAUGGUCAGGAUGGGGUCAUUUGCAAUGAAAUUCAAGGUUGAGACUAUGUUGCAGUUAUCUGUCUGCUUGUAAAAAGUCACCCCCACAUUUUGUUUAAAACAGCAAGUAUGUACUAUUUCACACAGUUUCUGUGGGUCAGGAAUCCAGAAGCGGCUGAGAUGGGUAGUUUAGGAUCAGGGUCUCUCACAAGGCUUUGGUCCAGGUGCAGGCUGCAGUCCUCCAGAGGCGGGACUGGGGCUGGAGGUCUGCUUCCAGACGGUCACUCACAUGGAUGUGGGCAGGCGGCCUCAGUUCCCUGCCACAUGGCCCUCCUCAUAGGACGCUUGAGUGUCCUCGCGGCAUAGCAGCUGGCUUUCCCCAGAGUGACCCAAGGUGGAAAGAACAAGGCAGAGGUGACAGUGUCUUUUAUAAGCCAGCCUUGGAAGUGACGUAGCAUCAUUUCUGCCUUAUUCCAUUGGUCACACAGACAACCCGAUGUGGAAGGAGACAUCACAAGGACAGGAAUACUGGGAAGCAGGUAUUGUUGGUGGCUGUCUCGGACGCUGGUUCUCAUAGAAGUAGAUGUAUUAUUUUAGUACAAUAAGUGCAGACGAUCAGCUAGCAGGAUGUUAUUUUUGCUGGGUAUGGUUGUAUUUCAGGUGCAUUUACCCAAAUCCAGAGUACCUUUGGGGGCUCUGACCCUCUCCUCCUCCACCUUGAGAUCUGUAGAGGCCUCUCGUUCAUCCCACCAAGAGCAGGACUGGACAGAUGAAAGCAUGGCUUACAGGAGGCCAACACAAUAGGAGGUAGGGCUUUGGGAAGACAGCAUAGGUUUCAAAAGAACCAAGAAGCUGUUGAAAAGGAGAGCAGAUGGGCAGGGAAGACAAGUCCCAGAUAGAAUGCCCUUUGCAACCUAGGGGGAGCUGACCACAGUGUGCAUCCUGACACUCGAAGACAAGGUCUCCAUCAGCAGAUUGCCCAACAGAACAAGUUCAGAGCCCAGAGAUCCCAGUUCCAGAUCUCAGAUCUCCCACACCCUGUGGGCUCUGUGUGGACUUUCGUCCUGAAACAAAGUCCUUUAGUAAAGGACUCUUUAAAUUCACUCCAUCUGUGCUUUGCUUGCCAAUAGCAGGGUGCGUCUGUUACAUACUGGACUAUCCCUUCCUUCAAUAUGUUCAUGGCUGAGGCUGCAUUUGUGCCUCAGAUAAUCAAGGUGAGUAUAACUCUCUGUUCUGUUUCCCUUUUGUUUCCUCCAAGACUUUAAUAAACCCUCAUUCAAGAGGCCCACCUUGUCCCACCUGUGCUUCUCAGAAAAGAAGGAGUGGUGGGGAGACAGGCUGGGGUGGGGGCUUUGCCACCUGGCUGCCCCUUCACCUGUGGGUUCUUGCUCCAAUGAGGACCCAGCAGGAUAAGCUUUAGUUUCAUUAAGGGUGACAAUAGUUUCCUUACAGCUGGGUCAAGGAUAUGAGCGAGCCUCUUCCGAAAACAGCCGGGAAGGGAGAGGAAUCCAAGAGGAGGAGCAGGUGGGAAAGACAAGACAGAAGGUGGAUCGGGACCAGGCCUGGGAGGGAGCACAGGCACACAGAAGUGAAAGAAUUCGCCUGAGGUUACACGACUCCUCGAGCGGUGCCUUUAGCUCUGCAUUGUGCCACCUGCCUGGGUCAAGGAAGAUGCCACCGCUGUUGUUCUGUGUACAGAGAGGGAAAGGAAGAUGCUGGCUCUCAGCAGUUCUAUAGAACAGAGGAUGGAGAGGCCACACGACAAUAGGCACACGCACCGUACAUUGAAGAAGUGCAUGCAAGACAGAAUCGUGUGGGAUAUGCACACUUGCGUGGAAGAAAAACUGUUCCAUUCACAUUGAGAAGAAGAAGAAGAAGAGGAGGAGGAGGAGGAGGAAGAAGAAAGAUGGUGAGAUAUCCUGCAGGAGACCAGGGCCAGGAGGGUGGAGGCCUCUCAAGAAGAGGGAAGCAUGAGGAAGCUCCAGGGCAGGAUGGUUUACCUGCCUGGACAGCAAGAUGAUGGCUACACUAGCCCCCAUUCUCUGGUCAGUUAUAUCACAGUCCUUCACAGGGCGCCUGGAUUUGCCCACCAGAUCUCCUCACCUCUUGCCCUUCACCUCCUGCUGUACCUACAAGGUCUCCCCGAUUCUCAUCUGCCCAUAAUCAUGGACACAGCCCCAGGAUGUGCAGGACUCUCAGGGACCAUCUGGAGUUCCAGCUGGAAUCUGGGCCUGGUGGAGUGGGAGUGGGGCAGGGGCCUGCAUUGGGCUGACUUAGAGAGCACAGUUAUUCCAUCCAUAUGGAAAUAAACAUUUUGGAUUCCUGAUCACAUCCCUGGAGUUUAAGACUCUGGCCAACCAAGUCAACUCCACAACUUUGUGUGUCCCUGGGAGGGUCUGGUGUGGGACCCACCUGUCUGUGGCCCUCGUCCCCUCCCCUGCCCUUUCUCCACUCACAUCUUGGUCCCUCUGGUGAUUAUCUCUUCCCUCUGAGGACAGAUGGAACCUGAUUUGAAUGAGGGGUAAUGGUCUUGUGAGGACCAGGACAUGGAUUGGGUGUGUGUUUAUAUGUGUGUGUGUGUAUGUGUGUGUGUGUGUGGUGGGAAUGGAAUAUCAGAGAAGGUGGUGGAGGAGGGAGGAUUGAAUUUGGAGAAUCCCUGGCUUCUAGUGUCCGCAGGGGAAACAGCAGCUCCAGCUUCCCACAGCGGUCCCCUCCCCUCUGCAGGUCGAGCUCCCACCCUCUUGGAAAUGCCUCUGAAGCUGCAUAGUCCUCCCCUGAUGCUUGUGCUCCCUUAGGGGAUCUCCAGGCCUUUGGGUGUGGUCUGGCCCCUGGAGAAGUGUGGUCGAGUGGAGGAUGGGGUCCUGCAGUGGCCAUGUUCUGGACGCCCACAUCACGGGGAGUUUUGAGGGAUUGAGCCCACUUUAGCUUGGGUCUUAAAACCACCAUGGUAAGAAGUGUCAACCUUUGGGGGAAAAAUAAAAAUAUAUAGAAAUAUUUAGAAAAACCCACCAUGGGGGCCUACAAGUUCCUGAGUCAAGGCCUCUGCCGAGACUCCACUGACCAGCAUGGUCACUGAAGGGCAUGGAGGACCGUCCUGUGGGAAGAGGCUUGGACAUGCACUGUGAACUCAAGAGCAAGGACACUGUGUUGAUCUGGAGAUGUGGGCAAUGGGCGAGUACACACGGAGCAUCCUCCUGUGCCUUGGAAUGGGACAAGGUGGAUUCCAGCAGCCCUCAGAGCUUCUGCUGGGUGGCUUUGCAAAGAAGGGGCUUUCCACUCUACUGUGGACAUCUGCAGAGAUUGGGCAGGGAAUAAGAUUUUCCAUUCAACCCUGAGUUCCUUUUUUUUUUCUAUUCCAAAUUCAUUCCAGAGCAUGUGGUAGGAUCAGUAUCACAAGCCCCUAGUUCUUGGCCAGAGCCCUAGUGACUGUCUUGUGUGCAUGGGGGGGCCAGCCGUUGCAGGAAGAUGGGUCAAGAGUCUUCAUCUGAUGAGGGCCAGGGACUUUCCAACUCCCUCAACCCUUCCCCCAGGCUCUUUUCCCACCCUCACAUUGAGCCCUCUUCACUCUGAUAGUUGGGCCCCCUAGGACUUUUAUUCUGAAAGAGCCAAGGCCCCUGGAGGUGGAGAGGAGGCCAGAGGCUGGAGCUGGCCUUGACCCUGAGCCAGCUCCACCCUUCUGGGCUGUUUUCCAAGGCAGCAACUCUGGGACCCUUGCUGUCCUCAGCUCUCCUCUUUAUCUCUGGUCUCCAGCCUUGCUGGCCUUUGAGCAGAGGGUCCCUAUAGCCAGGACUGCUGGGCUUCUCCCUCCUAUGCCUUCACACCCCUGUAUUACUGUCUUUUAUUCCUUGACCUCACAUCCUCCGUCUACUUCCUUUUUCAGCUUUUUCUGGCUUUCUUGCUGCUUGCCCUUCCCAAAGCAGACACGGAGGACAGGUCACCAUUUAGAAGCUCCCCGCCUCCCCAAGCACUGGACAAAGGUCUUACCCCAUUCCAUCCCUCAUUCCCAACACAUAGGAUGGAAGUAUCAAAUGGCCAGAUGCCUUCAGAUGUCAGAACCGUGGAGUCCGUUGAACCCUGUGUGUGGGGGGCUGUGUCUUGGGCCUGGUUUUGUUGAGCACAUGAGACUUUCUCAAGGAUAAGGACAAAGAAAUGGACAAAAAGACUCUGCCAGUAGCCCCUGUUUAAACUCUUGAACCCCAGUCACAGUUUUCCAGAAGUCCAUCAGGAUAGAAUUUUCACUAAUCGCCAAAUGCCCAAAGCUUAGUUCUUUCUUAGAAGGAAAAGAAGAGGUCAAAUGGACAGGAGAGAGCGGAGAUUGGUUGUUCUCAGGGGCUCCUUCCCUUUGCCUGCUUCUUUCAUUUGGGACGCCAGACCUUGACCUGGAAGUGAGGUCACUAUUGGGCAGUGGAGUGUGAGAAAGGACUUUGGCCUGGGGGCUGCAAGUUACAGAUUAACACGGGGAGGGGUGAGGAGGGACCCAGAGGGAGGAAAGGUGGCCAGAGGAAGGGACAGCUGACCUGGCACAAUCUGGGCUUGAAGGGGGCACAACAAGAGCGUCUGUGAGCUGGUGCUGUCUGGAGGGAUCUUGGCUCCUCUCCGGCUAUCUGACCUUCCUGAAGACCUGCUCGCACACUGCAUCCCUUGCAGUCAGUUCCUGGGGAGAGAGGGGAAGUGAGGGGGAGAGAGAAAGAGGGCGUUUGCCAGCCAGAGCCCCUUUCUCAAGGUCCUUGACCUCCAUUUACUCCUUCCGGAUACAGCAGCUUGAGUGUUUGAUGUAUGGGCAAUUGUAUCAUUAUUCCACAUCCUCAACUUUCCACCCCUCAGGAAGGAAGGUGGCUGGGUCAGGGGAUGUGAGUGGCUGAAGCCUCCAUCUCGCCAGUGAUGAUUUAUGGGCAUUCAUCCGACUCGUAGCCAGGGCCCACCUUGGCCACUCUGUUUCUUCCUCUCCCCACUCCUCCCAGUGCUUUUGCUUUCCCUCCCUGGUCAAUUCCUUGGAUAGGGAUUGGGGCUGGGCUGGGGGAAGAGUGGUGGACCUAUCUGGUUUGGACAAGGGGAUGCCUUAUAGCUGGAGGCCCUUCUCCCAGACACCCAGCCCCCACCCCAUUUACCAGAUACAGCAUCUCUCCCUCCAGCCAGUGUCUCCAGCCCCGGUUGGGGACCUCCCCUUUCUGCACACACACCAGGUGCUCCUCCUCCCAGGUUACUAUGGUCUAUAGGGGAAAGAGGGAGUAAAGAAAGAUUAGGAGGCAGGACACUCAAAAUGCUUCCCAUCUCACUCUGAAUGGGCUCCCCCUUUUACUCCACAGCAGAUACUGUCUGCUGCAGCCCCUCCACUGAGCGAGGGAGCUGCUCUGAUUCAGCAGGACUCCCUUUCCACCCUACUCUUUGUUUUUUGUGUUUUUUUGAGACAAGUUCUUGCUCUGUCACCCAGGCUGGAGUGCAGUGGCAGGAUCUCGGCUCACUGCAACCUCUGCCUCCUGGGUUCAAGUGAAUCUCAUGCCUCAGCUACCAGAGUAGCUGGGAUUACAGGCGUGCACCAACAUACCGGGUUAAUUUUUGUAUUUUUAGUAGAGACAGGGUUUCUCCAUGUUGGCCAGGCUGGACUUAAACUCCUGAGCUCAAGUGAUCCGCCCGCCACCGCUUCCUAAAGUGCUGUGACUAUAGGCAUGAACCAUCACACCCAGCUUUCCACUCCUAAAGGUCACCGAGGGGGGCCCAAAGUUGUCUACAGUGACCUUUAGGGGAGAGCAGGGGUGGUAGCAGGAUAAGUAGAGGUGAAAUUGGGGAGGGCAUUUAUGAAGAAUGGAGACUUUUUCCUCUGGAUACUUCUGGCUGACCUAGAGGGACUUUUGAGAAAAAAGAGAGAUUGGUUGGGAAUCCUACCAGGUAAUCUCAUUUCUCCUCUUUCUCGGUUUCAAGAACAGCUGAAGUAUCCUUAGAAAUAAAGGGUCAGCCCCUCUGGGCCUGAGCAUUCCAAUCAACCUUUAUUGAGUUCUCCUUUAGGAUAGGCCCCAAACAAGGAGCUCAGAGUCUUGAAGAGAUAGAGGAUCAGUAAAUAGGUAACUGUGACACCAGGCAAGAGUGAGGGAUGGCAGUGGGGCGGGCAGAGUGAAAUCUUUAAGGAAGUUGGGAGUUAAUUAGAUUGGAGAGAAUGGGAAAUUUCUAGCAAGGAAAGAAACAGCUAGAAAUAGCGGUAAAAGAGAAAGGCAAUUAGUUCUGAAGGGCUCUAACCUAGAGUAUAUGUGGUGGAGGCAAUUGAAGAGUUGAUUCACAGAGACCCUUGUAUGCUGAGUUAAGUGUAACAGAUGAUGUAAUGUAAUAGAUCAUCACUGAAAGGGUGUAAGUCAGAGAGUGACAUGAUCACAUUUAUGUUUUAAGUAGACCCUGUGGCUACAGCAUGCAGAUUAGAGGAGGGUUAAGCGUGAGAACCAGCUGGGUGCAGUGGCUUAGGCCCGUAAUCUCAGCAUUUGGGAGGCUGAGGCGGGAGAAUCACUUGAAGUCAAGAGUUUGAGACCAGCCUGGGCAACACAGUGAGACCCCACCUCUACCAAAAAAAAAAAAACACAAAAACACAAAAAAGCAAUUUCAGGCACCAGGAAAUGAAGGCCUGAAUUAGGGUGGUGAUAGAGAAAGGUUAGGAGGGAACACAGGAGAGCCAUUUAGAAGAGUGAUGCUCAACAGAAAUAAAAUGGGUCAGGAGCCAUAUUAGAAAAGUAAAGAGAAAUAGGGGAAAUUAAUUUAAAUAAUAUAUUUUAGUUAACCAAAAAUAUUCAAAAUAUUAUUAUUUCGGCAUGCAGCCAAUAUAAACAUUUCCGAAAUGCUUCUUUUUAUUUGGCAUUGUCUGAAAGUCCACUUACAGCAUCUAGAUUUGGACUAGUUAUAUUUCAAGUAUUCAACGGCCAUCUGAAGUUAGCAGCUGCUAUACUGGGUAAUGCAGAAAAGCUACAAAGAUUUCUUGGCCGAUUAGAUGUGGUGGUGGUGGUGGUGGUGGUGUGUGUGUGUGUGUGUGUGUGUGUGUGUGUGUGUGUGUGUGUGUGUGCUGGGAGCCUAGAGGUAAGGAAACAAGAGAUAUUGACCAUGACUCCCAGGUCUCUGGCCUGGCUGGUUAUUGCCAUUAGUGGAGAGAGUAGAUAUAAAAGUGGGGUAGGUUUGGAUAGGAAGACAGUGAAUUUGAAUUUGACCUUGGCAUUCAAAUGGAAAUUGGUUCCAGGACCCCCACCUCACUAAAUCUGCUGAAUAAAAUGGCUUAGUAUCUGUAGAGAAACUACAUACAUCCCCCUGUGUACUUUAUUAUUAUCAUUUUGAUACAGAGUCUUGCUCUGUCACCCAGACUAGAAUGCAAUGGCAUGAUCUUGGCUCACUGCAACCUCUGGCUCCCGGGUUCAAGUAAUUCUCCUGCCUCAGCCUCCCAAGUAGCUGGG
This 9570-nucleotide long non-coding RNA is filed under the name Homo sapiens (human). RNAcentral's name for it is "PREDICTED lncRNA (TCONS_00052258)". Lineage: Eukaryota; Metazoa; Chordata; Mammalia; Primates; Hominidae. The record is from RNAcentral.